UGGCACAUAGCAGUCUUCAGACGGUAACUCACCGUCAUGGGGUGUCGGGGGGCGGAGGUUCAAAUCCUCUCGUGCCGACCA
This 81-nucleotide transfer RNA is filed under the name Citrobacter freundii. Its description in RNAcentral is "tRNA-Pro". Lineage: Bacteria; Pseudomonadati; Pseudomonadota; Gammaproteobacteria; Enterobacterales; Enterobacteriaceae. The record is from RNAcentral.